This 1359-nucleotide long non-coding RNA is filed under the name Parus major (Great Tit). RNAcentral's name for it is "lncRNA (ENSPMJG00000018266.1)". The record is from RNAcentral. Lineage: Eukaryota; Metazoa; Chordata; Aves; Passeriformes; Paridae.
AAAAUAACUUCUGGAAGGAGAAACAGCAGCCAGUUACACUGCAUGGGAAUUUUUGUGAUGGUUGUUCCCACAGGUGACCCUGGCACAACAGAUAGACAUGUGGAUGUUUACCUUGGCUGAUGCUCUGGUGCUUGGCCAUCAAGGCCAUGUUUUUGCCAUAAUAAUAAUUCCAUUGAAGAAUUAAAUUAGAGUUGGAAUGACAUAGAGCAAAUGCUGAUCCCAGAGUUAUACUGUACUGACUGGACUACAGGAGCUGUCUCUGGGCAGUCAGGCAUUAGGUCAUCUGUAUUUGAUACUAACUCUCUUCAUAGGGUUGCUCUCUCUAAUUUUUUACAAGGCAGAAUUCUUGGGAAAGCAAAAAAGGAAAGCAGUUAUUAGAGAAACAUAUAUUAUACAGAAAGAAAAGCCUGGGACAUGACUCUUUUUGCAGCAAGCAGUUGCAGGAUCCCAUCCAUAACCAAUAGCAGUACAAAACUCCCUUCCUUGUGGUGCAGCAGAUGUGGUCAGCAAAGACUUCCAGGAAGACUCAGGAAUUUGCUGUUAGAAGAUCUACAUAUGCAGAUGCAGGUCUUUUCUUCUCUCCUUUGCCCUUGUGUUGGGUAAAACUUGAGUUUUGACUGAUGUAGCAGCCACAAGAAGGCAGGCAGUGAGGGUAAGUCUAUCUACCAUACCUACAUUGUGGAAAGCUUCCUGUGAAAUUGGAUUAGCACUUAAAUGUUGUGUGACUGAGCUUUAUGUUCUAGGUUUUGUACAUGUUCUCAAAGAAAAAGGAAAAAAAAACCACCACUCCUCAAACUCUGUAUUAUUUGGGGACAAUUAUAGUAUUGCCAGAUUAAUUACAGUGUUUCUACAAUGCUCUCCUCUGAUUCUACUAUUAGAACACAGCAGAAAUCAGAGUCUGUUUUGACCUUUAUUCAGAGCCUCCUGUUAAAGUGACUUUCACAACAGAACUCAAUUUGUCACAUUUUAUUUGUACUUUAAUUUUAUUAUUAACAGAUUAAUGAAGCUGGUAAUGGGUUUCCCGAUGCUCCCUUUGGAAAUGUGAACUGUGUCCCUUCCUUACAUCAAUCUGCUGUCAGCAGAUGAAGUGCCUUUGCAAAAUGCUAUUAACUGUUACCAGAAGCAAUUAGUCAAAAUAGCAAGUCAGCUUCAAAAGGAGAGACUCCAGAUUCCCUCAGUGUGUUAGGAAAAGCGCAUUAGUAGGAUUUAAUCUCUCCAGCAGCCACAAGCUUUAGGCCCUGCAGUAGGUGUCUGGGUUAAUGACACAUAGCAAUGUGAAUGUAUCAAACUUUAAUUUGCUCCAAGGAGCAAUGCCAGGUUAAAAAAAAAAUAAAAAUAAAAAAUCAAUUUCUGGUGUCA